UUUCCCUCCAUCGCAUGGACUGCAUUCCUCUCCACAUACUAUGUGGAGCGGAUUCCUUCCUUUUCCCUCCCUUUCACAAACACAACACAUCCCACAGGACUCAGGCACACACACAAUAUAGGGUGCUGAUCACCAUCCAUUCCUUCCACUCGUGGCAGAUCCACACACGCGCACUGCCCAGAGGAGAUGCUCUCCCUGUCUCCACGGAGUUUUGCCAUGGGCUGCAAAGGCAGAAGAACAGAGCAGUUCAAGACACAGCUUGUCCACCAGGUCCUGGAGCCGGAGAAUACUUUUCUUAUCCUCUUCAGACUGUGGGAAGUGAAAUUCAAGUUAGCCUUGGAAGGUGGACCGAGGUGAUGCAUGUUAAGAAGGCAGAGAAUUUGAAAUACCUGUUUCUGAGGCCUGUUGUGGAGAAGACUGGGAUCUCCUGGCUGAGUUGUAAUUGCCAGUUCCAAGAUCAUCCCCAGUUGCCUCUUCAGCUCUUCAGUCUGCUGAGUGAAAGCAUGUUUGCCUCGAGUCAACUGAGAAAUCAAGCACUCCUUCUCUUCCAGUUGCCGGGGAAAACUCUACACCAGCUUUUUAGCUCCCUUCCACAUCUGCCCAGCUGAAGCCAUUUGAAGGAACUCAUGGAUACUCUUGUGACAGCAAUUCAGCAAGCUAAGGAUUUUAGAAUCUGGCUGAAGGUCCCAUGAUCCCAAGAUCCAUCAAGGAUCUACAGCAGUCCUCCUGUCUGGCUCAUCAAAAGCUCUCACCGAAAUCGGGAAACAAACUGCUUAACUGGUCUUAAGCAGCAAGGUAACCCCUGCACAUGGCCUGUGUGCGGGUGAUGAGCUGUGCCAGCUUCUCAUCCCUCAUCUCCUCCAGGAGUCCCAGCAGCCCAGCUUUGAAGAACACCUUGAGAAAGGGAAGGUUGCAGCGCAU
Molecule: long non-coding RNA, 921 nt
Organism: Cuculus canorus (common cuckoo)
Lineage: Eukaryota; Metazoa; Chordata; Aves; Cuculiformes; Cuculidae
Exons: 6
Source: RefSeq, a predicted model, not a curated record